This 483-nucleotide ribosomal RNA is filed under the name uncultured bacterium. Its description in RNAcentral is "partial 16S ribosomal RNA". It matches the Rfam family "Bacterial small subunit ribosomal RNA", at positions 30 to 507 of the family's 1533-position model. The record is from RNAcentral.
UUGAACGCUGGCGGCAGGCCUAACACCUGCAAGUCGAGCGGAUGAAGGGAGCUUGCUCCUGGAUUCAGCGGCGGACGGGUGAGUAAUGCCUAGGAAUCUGCCUGGUAGUGGGGGAUAACGUCCGGAAACGGGCGCUAAUACCGCAUACGUCCUGAGGGAGAAAGUGGGGGAUCUUCGGACCUCACGCUAUCAGAUGAGCCUAGGUCGGAUUAGCUAGUUGGUGGGGUAAAGGCCUACCAAGGCGACGAUCCGUAACUGGUCUGAGAGGAUGAUCAGUCACACUGGAACUGAGACACGGUCCAGACUCCUACGGGAGGCAGCAGUGGGGAAUAUUGGACAAUGGGCGAAAGCCUGAUCCAGCCAUGCCGCGUGUGUGAAGAAGGUCUUCGGAUUGUAAAGCACUUUAAGUUGGGAGGAAGGGCAGUAAGUUAAUACCUUGCUGUUCUGACGUUACCAACAGAAUAAGCACCGGCUAACUUCGUG